Molecule: unclassified non-coding RNA, 411 nt
Filed under: Hevea brasiliensis (rubber tree)
Lineage: Eukaryota; Viridiplantae; Streptophyta; Magnoliopsida; Malpighiales; Euphorbiaceae
Source: RNAcentral
CCCAUGUCUAAAGCCUCCAGAAGAUAUCCAAAUUUUGCUUCAGCCUGUUCAGGGGAGAUGCCAACAAUUUCCAAAACCUUUUGUUGGACUUCACGUUUAUAAAUUCUCAAACUUCCUCCACCAAUCUCAACCCCAUUGUAAACCAUGUCAUAAGCAAGGGCACGAGCAGAGGGAAGGUCUUCCACGUCUUCAGGUUUGGGUGCCGUAAAUGGGUGAUGCAAAGCCUCAAGCCUUUGCUCUGAAUCAUUCCACUCAAACAUCGGGAAAUCAGUCACCCAUAGAAUGGAAUGCCUGGAAUGGUCAAUCAAAUCCAUCUCAUUGCCUACAAACAUCCUUAGUCGGUCUAAAGUUUUAUUAACUGAUGCAUGACGACCCACUGCAAACAAUAUAAGAUCCCCUGGUCCUGCAGAG